This 208-nucleotide microRNA precursor is filed under the name Oryza meridionalis. RNAcentral describes it as "MIR812 microRNA precursor family". It matches the Rfam family "MIR812 microRNA precursor family". Lineage: Eukaryota; Viridiplantae; Streptophyta; Magnoliopsida; Poales; Poaceae. The record is from Rfam by way of RNAcentral.
ACUACUUGUCGCUUUGAGUUUUUGUUUGUAAUUUUUGAUCAUUCGUCUUAUUCAAAAAAUUAUGAAAUUAUUAUUUAUUUUGUUGGUGACUUGCUUUAUUAUCAAAAGCACUUUAAGUAUGAAUUAUCCUUUUUUUACAUUUGCAUUAAUUUUUCAAAUAAGACGAAUGGUCAAACAUUACAAGAAAAAAGUGAAAACGGCCACUAAU